RNAcentral lists this ribosomal RNA (410 nucleotides) under bacterium. RNAcentral describes it as "partial 16S ribosomal RNA". It matches the Rfam family "Bacterial small subunit ribosomal RNA", at positions 355 to 776 of the family's 1533-position model. The record is from RNAcentral.
UGGGGAAUUUUGCACAAUGGGCGGAAGCCUGAUGCAGCGACGCCGUGUGGGGGAUGAAGGCCUGCGGGUUGUAAACUCCUUUCGUCAGGGACGAAGUUUGUUUGACGGUACCUGGAUAAGAAGCACCGGCUAACUACGUGCCAGCAGCCGCGGUAAUACGUAGGGUGCGAGCGUUGUCCGGAUUUACUGGGCGUAAAGGGCUCGUAGGUGGUGUGUUGCGUCGUCUGUGUAAUCCAGGGGCUUAACUUUUGGUUGGCAGGCGAUACGGGCAUUGCUUGAGUGCUGUAGGGGAGACUGGAAUUCCUGGUGUAGCGGUGAAGUGCGCAGAUGUCAGGAGGAACACCGAUGGCGAAGGCAGGUCUCUGGGCAGUUACUGACGCUGAGGAGCGAGAGCAUGGGUAGCGAACAGG